This 1801-nucleotide long non-coding RNA is filed under the name Nicotiana tabacum (common tobacco). RNAcentral describes it as "long non-coding RNA (NTAB_LNC010046)". Lineage: Eukaryota; Viridiplantae; Streptophyta; Magnoliopsida; Solanales; Solanaceae. The record is from RNAcentral.
UCCUGGAUCGCCUACAGAUAUUUGCAUAGUACCUCGAUAGAUGAGGAAGCAUUAGAUGUAGACGAUAGAACAAGGGGUGGGAAUAAAUUAUAUAUUUGCUCAAAUUUUACUGGAACUUAUCUAGACUAUAAGUGACUUCUCUAAAAGCAAACAAUAUAGGCAACAAUUUAAGAAAAUAAAUGAUGAUAACCUAGUAUUAAGCGUCCAUCUACCAAUCCAUGGAUCGUGAUUCGAGUCGCACUAAGGUAAAUAGAUCCCCGGGGAACAAGUAGAACACGGAAAAGCUUUUGAUAUUCUUAGAGGGUACUCAACUUGACUAUUUCAUCGCGUACCUGCUACGAUCACCAGCACAUAUAACGAGUAUUUUCUAAGUGCACACACAUUUCUAACGCUCAGUUGUUGAGUCAUUUGCCCUCCACCGGGAAACCUCAACACACACAUUUACCUACAUGCGUGUGUUUGCGUGUGUAGUCUACACUAAUGGCCACAUUCAGUCAUUCACCUUCUACUGAAUCAUACAACAUCUUAUGUGUUUCUUCUCAGUUUAGAUGAUUUCACUUCAGUGGCAGAUACUACAAGAAGAUGGCUUUCUAUUACCAAUUUGUCAGUAUCUUCAAUGCGGUCCCUCCAGUUCACCCAAAUCACUGCUAGAUUUUCCCUCCUGGUAUUCAUGUUCCUAAACACUAGUGGGAUUUCUGCAAAGUCAAGCAGCAAAGGAAAGCUAAAUCUCCACUUACAAUGUACCCAACAAACAUAUCCCUCACUAUUCCAAGAUUUCUCAUGUAAAUUGGUACUUGUCUAUGUAUCAACAUAACAUCUCCAACCAGGCCAACUUUCUGCAGAGCAGUAUGCCGAUACUUAGCUCAAUGACAGGUAGCAUAUCUAUCACUCAAUCUGCUAUUUGCACUCCAGCUGGUGCAUGGCUCGAAUUGCAUGCAUAAUAUGGCACUGGCUGCAUCGAUUUAUCGUUGCUCAGUUCCUUCAUGAGUCAGACCUACAAGGAAAAGACAGAAAACCAAUAUCUUUAACUCAUCCUUUGCUUUCUCCACACGAACUUAUCAACAACCCAGAACAGAACUUCGAUAGCAGAACAGAUUAAGAUACGAUUCCAAUAUUCAGAUCCAAGAAGACUCCAAAGCAUCUUAUCAAGAUAUAAAAGGUCAGAGAGGGACGUCCUCUUCAGAGUCCUGCUGUUCUUUUAAACUAUCUUCAUUAGGUAAUGGACAUACUCUCGACAAGUUGAUACUAUUAUUUAGCUAAAUAUACUUGCGCAUAACUUAUAUAAGUCAUCCACAGAACUACAGUUUCACAUCUCCACAAACUUUUAUAUGCACUGCCAAGUUUACGAUAACAGGCGGAGAACAAGAAUCCCUGUUUCUUUAAAUCUGAGCUGAAGAGCUAAGCAUUCUUUAGCAUAGUUGCACCUCCUCCAAUUAAAAAAAAAAAGGACUUCACUACAUCAAUUAGUCACAGUCGCGACAAUCUAAACAAAAAAUUAAAAGAAAACAAAGCAGGAGAACGAAAUCUUUUGACCAAAGUCAAAAUGUCAACAACUUGAAUACUUCAAAACAAGAGUGCCUACAAGCUACGAGAGUACUGCCAACUAAGACGUUAACCCCUAAACAAAUCUUAUUAAGAUCGGCCCAACAAAUAGAACUAUAACUAACCCAACCCAACAAAACUACAUAACAUUAUCAUAUAUUAACAGGAAACAUAUCAUGUGAAUGCACCCCACUAAACUGCAUGGAUUGGACUGUGGCUAGAGUUCAUGCCUGAGCUACCAGAUGAAGGAUUAGCAUGG